CUUGAUGUCUUCAAACCAUGACUUUUAUCUUCAGUUUUCAGCUACUAACAAGCAUGACCACAAUUUGGACCAUCAUCACAUGAAGCAGGCUGUUUGUCUUCUAAGAAUGAUGACUGGAUCUAGGAAGCUUUGCAGGAAAGACGUAAGCUUGUUUCCUGGCACCACAACUCACAUAUGAGUAAGGAAAUGACUCCAUUGGUCCUACUGUAAAUCCUUAAAUGGAGAUAUUUCAACAAGAAAUUGGGCGAAGCUGCUUUAUAGAUGUCUUCUUCAAUCAGCAAGGCAUAUUUCAAAUAAG
Molecule: non-coding RNA, 298 nt
Organism: Microcebus murinus (gray mouse lemur)
Lineage: Eukaryota; Metazoa; Chordata; Mammalia; Primates; Cheirogaleidae
Source: RefSeq, a predicted model, not a curated record